This 704-nucleotide long non-coding RNA is filed under the name Mytilus galloprovincialis (Mediterranean mussel). The record is from RNAcentral. Lineage: Eukaryota; Metazoa; Mollusca; Bivalvia; Mytilida; Mytilidae.
CUAAAUUAAGUAUGUAGAAAACAAUUAGAUGUUUUAAAUUAUGUCAAUCAUAAAUGGUAUUAUUGCUUAUUAUGGCACCCAUCUUGCUUUUAAUGUUAAUAGAUAUUUAUGUAUACCUGGCUUUCAAAUGUUUAGAUUUGAGCUUGGUUGAUGAAGGAAAAUUCAAAAAAGCACUUCUGACGCACAAAAUAUAUAGUGUUAUUUUAGUUUAUAGCCUUAUCUUACUCCACACCCUGUUUAUCCCUAGCUAUCAAAUGUUUAGGUUUGAUUGUCGAAGUUGAAGGUUAAAUCCAAAAAAGCACUACUUAUGCAAGAAAUAUAUGAAUUUUUAUUUUCAUUCAUAAUGAAAAUUUAAAUCUUCUGCAACUGUCUCCACACUCUAUGCUUAGCUAUCAGUACUGCAGAUGCAGUUGAUACAUGUACAACAAGGAACAUAAUCUGCUGUACGUUAUUGCAAAGCCCAUUGUACUGCAAAGGUAAUUUGAAACUUGGACAGAAAUCGGCUGUGCACCAACAUCUCAGUCAUGGUUCAUUGACUUUGAAUAUUUGCAUAACUUGUGUAAGAUGUUGCUAUUUUAAUUUCAACAUUUGCACAAUAGAAAUUACAAAAAAAGGCAAGACAUAUUUAUGUAAUAACAGUUUAUAUUUUGUUCAAGUACUGUAGAUUCAGUAAUCUUCAUGGUUACCAAUUUACUUGGAUUAGG